AAAAGCUUUCUUUAAUUGAAUAAUUGAAUUUAAUUUUUUAGUGCAAAAGCAAAAAUAAAAAUUAGGGACAAGAAGACCCUAUGAAUUUUUUAUUAAAUUUUAUAAAACUUUUUAUAAAAUUUAAUUUAAUUGGGGUGAUGGAAAAAGAAUAAAUAUCUUUUUUUUUAAAAAAAAUUGGUUCCGUUUUUAGCGAUUAAAUGAAAAAAAUACUCUAGGGAUAACAGCGUAAUAAUUUUGGAUAGUUCAUAUAGAUAAAAUAGUUUGCGACCUCGAUGUUGGAUUAGGAUUCUUUUUUGGUGAAGAAGUUAAAAAAAGAAGUUUGUUCAACUUAUAAUUUCCUACUUGAUCUGAGUUCAGACCGG
This 362-nucleotide ribosomal RNA is filed under the name Ixodes ricinus (castor bean tick). RNAcentral describes it as "partial 16S ribosomal RNA". The stretch from base 66 to 362 matches the Rfam family "Bacterial large subunit ribosomal RNA", at positions 2078 to 2619 of the family's 2925-position model. The record is from RNAcentral. Lineage: Eukaryota; Metazoa; Arthropoda; Arachnida; Ixodida; Ixodidae.